Molecule: ribosomal RNA, 429 nt
Filed under: uncultured bacterium
Lineage: Bacteria
Description: bacterial SSU rRNA
Rfam family: Bacterial small subunit ribosomal RNA
Source: RNAcentral
GGGCCCGCACAAGCGGUGGAGUAUGUGGUUUAAUUCGAUGCAACGCGAAGAACCUUACCAAGGCUUAAAUGUAACACGAUCGGUUGAGAGAUCAACCUUUUUUCGAACGGGUUACAAGGUGCUGCAUGGUUGUCGUCAGCUCGUGCCGUGAGGUGUCGGGUUAAGUCCCAUAACGAGCGCAACCCCUAUUUUUAGUUACCAGCGAGUAAUGUCGGGAACUCUAAAGAAACUGCCCGUGCAAACGGAGAGGAAGGUGGGGAUGACGUCAAAUCAUCACGGCCCUUAUGUCUUGGGCUACACACGUGCUACAAUGGUUAUUACAAUGAGAGGCAAACUGGUGACAGUAAGCUAAUCUAUAAAAUAACCUCAGUUCGGAUCGGAGUCUGCAACUCGACUCUGUGAAGUUGGAAUCGCUAGUAAUCGCACAUC